CGUGGGCUUCCGGGGUCUCCUUCCAGUCGAUCCUCGUGUUGACAAAAGCGGUGUUCUCCCGGAAAGUUUGAGGGAAAUUAGAGGCGGAGAGGGAGGAGGAAGGGAAAGGGAAGUCCUUGAAGGGGUCCCAGAGGUCGAGCGAGAAGGGGUCGAAGACGUUGCUGCGACGGCCGCCGAACCAACUUGGGAUGAGCGACAUCGUACCUGCUUCUGCUGCAGCUGUUAGAUGAUUCAAAGACGUUUGGUGAUCGAUCGUGGGACUGACGCUCUCUGUUGCUGAUGCUUUCGUUGAAGUGUGGAAGAAAAGGCGGACAUGCCCGGUAUUUAUAGGAGAGAAGAAGAGAUAAGGAUCGAACGAUGGAAGUUUCGGUUAAAAAUAGAGAAACAUCUGGUCUCGCCUAGAUAGAUCUCUCUCGAAACUGGGCCAUCCUCUCGUGAAACUUCUGGUCUUGGAAGUGUGGAGAUGUCUCGAGACAGGCCCAUAACUAUUGUUUGACCGGCUUGGUUUGUUCGACCCGGGUCGCAAUUUCCCACAGAAGAUCAUAGGGAAAGUUCAUCUCGUGGAAAAUAAGAUCAGGGGUUAGGAAACAGUCCUUUAGAAAAAGGAAUUUUCGCCGAUUUGGAAAUAUAAAAAUAGAAUGAAGUAUUCAUAGAAAGAAUUGUGAAGCUGCAUAUAAUGAGGAAUUAUGCCAGCAUAACGGUCCGUCAUUUGCUGAGUAAAUUAUGGAUUGAUUUCUACUGUAUGCUGGACAUUUUGCGCUUCUCUCUCCUCCAUAUGCACAGAGAUAUUAUUAUAAAAUCCAACUAGCGUAACUUACAAGAUAAAAUACUCGAUUAAUCUAAAAAAUGGGUCAAUUUGCAUAAACAUUUAGACUACGUUUGAUUGUUCGAAUUUCUAAUAAUGAUAGAACUGAAUAUGAUAUGAUAUGAAAUCCAGAAGAUUUUUUUAUAUCUUAUCUACUGUUUGGUGAUUAUAAUAAUAAAGUCGGAUAUAUUUACAUCAUAUUAUAUAUAUUGCUCAGUAUAAAUUCUUAUAUGAAUCACAAAUUUUUACAAACGAAAAUGGUAAAAAUUUAUCGCGACACUCUUAUCUACUUUAUUAUUAUUUUCAUUUUUAUUUUAUUUUCUUCUCUUUUUUAAUUUAUUUCUUUUGUAGUUUUUUCUUCCCCUUCCAUUAUUUUCGAAUAAACUUUUAUUAUAUAGAAAAUUGUACUAAUAUAACUAAAAUGCUAAAACGCCUAAAAUAUGUAAUAAAUAUAUAUUUAUAUAUUGAAUUUAUAUUAUAAGAUAGAAUUAAAUUCAUCUAUAGAAAUAAAAAUAAGAUUAAACUAAAAACAGUGUAUUUAGGAGUUUAUAUAUGUAUGUACGUGCUUCAAUAGCUUUAGUUGUGACUCAACCCCACCCUCCCUCUUUUAAAAUGUGUCUUUAUAGUUUGAAGUUAUGCUGGAGUUAUCUACGGAUCGUAACAAUCCAUAGUUUGAUGAAUAUACAUUGAUAACAUGCAAAAGAAAGUUCUAAUUUUUUUUCUUAAUUUAUUUAAUAAAUAUGAUUGUUCACAUUUUUGCUUAUUUUAACAAUAAAUAGAAUGGGCCUAAAUCAUAGAGUACUUAGUUUCAAUGCCAGACGCAAUACGGUAAAAUUGUUUAUAAAAAACAUGAAAGUGUAGGUAAUAAAGCAUCCAUUGGUUCCAAACGUAUUGGCUUAUUCAAAUUAAAAGUUAAAAAUGUUUCCGACGGAUUAUGUCUAGUUUAAGUUUAGAUUUAGGUUUCUCUCAAUAAAUUUAUAUCGUACUUGAGUAGUGAUCUCGUGUCGAGAACUGUAAUUUUAUUCAUAUUCAUUCUACUCCCCAUACCACACUGCAAUUUGGUUUUUCUUUUUUCCCUUUGACAUCAAUUUUAAAAUUGGGAGAGAUUAGUGAAUUUUUUUUGAAACUUUGAAAAAGUUGAAAGUUCGCAAAUCAGUAUAUUAUAUGUGUGUUUGAUAUUUAAUUGUCUUCUUACAUGAAUUCUUAAAUAUGUAAUAUUUAUAAUAUUUUAUUUUUAUGUACCGCCUAAAAAAUUGCAUUUCAACUACCCAUCGUUAUUUUUCCCUUGUGAUAAGGUCGUUCGUUUGUACCUUAAGAUUUACGUUUGAUCGUUCGAAUUUCUAAUCGGAAUAGGACUGGAUAGGAUAGGAUAUGAAAUCAUGAGAUUUUUUUAUAUUAUGUUCAUUAUUGGGUGAAUCGUAAUAUUAAAAUCGGAUAUAUGCAAAUCAUAUCAUGUACUUUUUUUUUAUAUAUAUAAAUAAAUGUUUUUUUUUUGUAACCCAGUGAAUCUCGUAAGCCGACAGCCGGCGAGAAAACCUUGGGGGACCGACUGCAAGACCCACCACCACAGUAUUCCAGAUAAGAAUCCCUAACAACGUCUCUGGAAUUCGAACUUCUCCCCUUUCAUGAGGAGGAGAGAGCCCGAGCCAGCUGUGCCACUGAGGGCGAUAGUGUAAUGUUCAUAAACGAAAAUGGAGAAAAUCUCUCGUAACACUAUUUCUUAAUUUAUUUUAAUUUUAUUUUUCCUCUUUUUAUAUUAUUUUCUUUAUUAUUUCUUUUUCCCCUUCAUCAUUCUUUAAUAAAAUUUAAUAAAAUAGUAAACUGUAGUAACAUACCUAAAAUACAAAAAUACCAAAAAUAUAUAACAAUAAUAAAUAUUUAAUUUAUAGAUUGAAUGUUUAUUAUAAGAUAAAAUUAAAGUUGAAUAUAUAAAUUAAAAAAAGAUUGAUUAAAAAAAUUAUUUUUUUAUUUUAAAUAUAUUAAAUUAGAAUUCAAAUAUUAUAUAUAUUGAAAUAUAAUUUCAAUUUUGUUAAUUUAACAAGUUUGUUAUUCGAGAAAAAUAAUUUUCUUUUUAUGAACAUUAAAGUCUCAUGCACCUUUAUCCCAUCUCCCCUAUAGAGUAAUUUUAUUCUGCCUAUAUUCCAUUUAUAUCCGACUUUAUCACGACUGCCAAAUGUAGCCUCAAAUAUAAAAUUGAGGAAGUCAUUCUUUUCAACGAAAUUGAGAAUGCGGUGGCUCGUCACAUUAACUUAAGUAAAAGUAACGAUGCCAUCUUUGCCAUUAAAUUUUCCCUUGAAAACCGAUUAGCUUGAUUAUCUUCAAAGGGAAAUGAGUUUUGUUAUGUAUUGGAAAUGGUAGCAUGGAUUUUCACUCAGCCAAAAGAAAGAAAGAAAGAAAAGCAAAAAAAGAGUAGCUAAGUGGGUUUCCCUCCCCAUAACUCCUACGAAAGAUGCAAACAGAAUAGCUUGCGCUAUGUACUGCACGAACAGUCCACAUGAAGAGAGGCAGUACAACAACACAUAGAUCAUGUUUUAAACGCAAUGACUCCAUCGUGACGUUCAGAAACUUGUGAUCGAGCUUAAUCCAUCCCUUUCGAGUGCUGGGACUUGUGCGGGGUUCUAGUUCGUACAAUUUUGCUCACUUCUGCUGAUGCAGUUUCUCUUUUCCUUUUUCUAGGAUCACUGAAUGGACAAUAUGGCAAAACUAAUAGUACACUGAUCGUGAUGGCAUCCGAGGGUACCUCCUCUUCAUGUACUCCUUUUCUUGCUUGAUGUUUUUUCCUUUUCGCCCUAUGAUUUUGUGAACAGAAAAGCACCGUAAAUUAGCUGUCAAGGCUUUAUAAUUCGCUCCCGAUGAUGAAGAACCCCGUGGCAUUCUCCCUGGGGAAAGAACACGGAGAUCAUAUUCUCCGGUUGGCCCCAGUCCCGACUCCUGUGCCUUCGUGUUCUGGCUCUCAAUGCUUGUGUAGUGGAUCUUGAUCUUGCAGGCCAAGGUCGUAAGUCCCAGCAUCGGCAACAUCACAGCUAGCCUCAUGCGGAAAUGCCGUACCCUUUACGUAUCGCAGUGGCAUACAUGGCCGCGUUCUAAUCGCCUUUUCGUUCUUCAAUAGUCAGCAAUUUAGGAAUUAGGUCGCGGGUUUCCCACUAUUGAAAUAGAAUUCACGACCAUCAAUUACACACUUCAGGUGUCUGAAAUGAGGGUAGUCUUCUGACAUCAAUCGUGGGAUUUCUGUAAACGACACCAAUCAGAUGGAGCUUUCUACUAUAAAAUAUACAAUGCACGAAUUAGCCAACAACCAUAUGAAGGAUGUGGAACUUAAGAAUGGCGGAUCAGAUAGCCUCGAUGGAGAAAGGAAAUUUAUUGCUAAUAGGGUGUCAACUCAAUCAGCCGAGGACCGCGGCUUUCGAACCAGCAAGAUCUCCAAAUUUGGCCAAAAACCUCUCAGUUCAGACCCUCAACAUCAACCGUGAAUAAAUGACCAAGAGAGUACUGCUCCACACCACUUGUAAACAGCUCAUUCUAUUCCAGAUCAGGCAAACCACAGAUGAGAUACUGCAAAUUCGAGAAAGAUUAUUCAUAUUCAACGCCGCCUUAUGGCCCUAGAAAACUACAAUAUAACAUCAUAAACAGAGACGACACUCUGAUUACAGUCACGUAAACACCUACAUUUCUUAUAUGCCUCAUUACCGAAAGAACUCCGAAAUUACACUUGCUCACCGGACGCAAACAUUACCGGACACGAGCGAUCAUUCUUGAAAUUACAAGAAGCUUAAAUCAACCAGAGAUCUCAAUAGCCUUGACCUCAGGCUUCUUCUCCUCCACCUUCGGAACAGUGACGGUGAGCACUCCAUUCUCCAUCGAGGCCUUCACCUGAUCCAACCUCGCAUUCUCGGGCAACCUGAACCUCCGCAUGAACUUGCCGCUGCUUCUCUCCACCCGGUGCCACGUAUCGUUCUUAUCCUCCUUCUCCACGUUCCUCUCGCCGCUUAUUUGGAUCACCCGAUCGUCUUCGAUCUCCACCUUGACUUCCUCUUUCUUGAGCCCAGGGAGAUCCGCCUUGAACACAUGGGCUUCUGGGGUCUCCUUCCAGUCGAUCCUCGUGUUCACAAAAGCAGUGUUUUCCCGGAAAGUUUGAGGGAAAUUAGAGGCGACGAGGGAAGAGGAAGGCAAAGGGAAGUCCUUGAAGGGAUCCCAGAGGUCAAGGGAGAAGGGGUCGAAGACGUUGCUGCGACGGCCGCCGAACCAGCUUGGGAUGAGCGACAUUGUACCCUCCUGCUGCUGCUGCGGUUAGAUGAUUCAAGGACGUUUGGCGAUUGAUUGUUGUAAUGAUGCCCCGGCUUGCAAAUGCUCCCCUUUUCUUGAGUGUCGAAGGAAGAUCGGAGAUGCCUGGUAUUUAAAGAAGAGAAGAACAGCUAAGGAUCGAAAAAUUGAAGUUUCUGUAAAAGAUUGCAGAAGCAUCUGGUCUCGCCCAGAGCUCUCUCGAAACCGGGCCUUGCUCUCCCGAAACUUCUGGUCUGUAAGUCUUGAGAUGUCUCGAGACAGGCCCAUAACUAUUGCUUGACCGGGUUGGACGAUGAUUAACCCAAUUAUCAGAAGCAACUGGAGCUAAAUUUCCAUGUCAGUCUCAUUAUAGUAUUUUAAUUAUGAAAUAAAAAAGAAUCAAAAAAUUAUAUGUGUGGUUGAUAUUUAAUUGACUACAUUCAUAAAAUUCUUUAAUAUAAUAUAUAAACAAAUAUAUAUAUAUAUAUCAAUAUAUAUAUAUAUAUAUCAAUAUCUAUUAAAGGUAUACAAAAGAAUUGGGAACCGUCCAAACUAUCUAGAACCGAAUUGGACCUGAUUGAAACUAGCGAUUCCCAAGGAAACUAAUAUAGUUUUUUGUUCUAAUUUAUUGGAAUCGGUGGAUAUCGAUUAGGUUCUCGAUUUUAAGUGUGGAAUCGUCCACUCGCCUACUCAAAUCGAAUCAGUAAUAUAGAAAUAUAUAUUUAAUUUUUUUUAAAAAAAUUCUGACAAAUUAUUUAAGAAAAAAAAAACCAUAAAAUCCCUAAUCUAAAGAUUAAUACCUAUUAACUAAGUGCUCAUCUCGUCUCACUCUCACCUCUUUUGAGCCGUCUUUCUAUCUCUCACUCAUGGCCUUGACUCUUAAUUUUUAAUAUAAGUCCAAUUUUUUUUAUUGAUCUUGCAAUUAAGAAUAAGAAAGUUCUUUAUUUUUUUGCUUUACUUUGACUUGUUGGAAAAUGUUGCACCAAAUGUAUGAAGCUUGUUUGGAACCCACCCAAGAACCAAAUCGGACCGAUGGUCCGAUUCUCUAUUUUAAUUUUUCAAAAUCGAUUUUUAGUGGGUAACUCCCGAUUGUAGGGGGAAAAUAGGAAAAUUAUCAAAAAAGUCUCAAACAUAUUGCAAUUAUAUUGAUUCAAUCACAAACAUAUUAUUUUGGUCAAUUGAAUCCUAAACCUUUUGCAAUUAUGUCAAUUCGAUUUUCUUUUACCAAAUUUGGUUGAUUGGCUUCGAUGAACAAUUUUUUAAUCUUUUCUUAUUUCUUACCCUUUCCUUUCUCUCUCUCUCUCUCUCUCUCUCUCUCUCUCUCUCUCUCUCUCUCUCUUCCUCCCCCUUCUUCCUCCUUCCAACGACCUGCCAAAUGGGAGCGCCGAUUGAGACAAUUAGCUAGUGGUGAACUCACCUCUUUGUCGUUGGGUGAGGAUGAGCUCGCCUAACUAGGCCCUCACUGGAUCUAACUAGGCCCUCACCGGAUCUAGUGAGGGUGAGCUCGCCCAGUGACUAGAGAAGGCGAGCCUUGCUAGAUUUAGUGAGAGUGAGCCUCGCCAAUAGAUCGACAAACUUGACCUCAUUGUCGUCAAGCUAGGGCAAACUCGCCCAACCACUGGGGAGGGUGAUCUGGUCAAAGACAAGCUCGCCAAUGGAUCUCCUCUGGAAUUUUGCUCGNNNNNNNNNNNNNNNNNNNNNNNNNNNNNNNNNNNNNNNNNNNNNNNNNNNNNNNNNNNNNNNNNNNNNNNNNNNNNNNNNNNNNNNNNNNNNNNNNNNNGCGUCCAUCAAUUACACGGUUUAGCUUAGUAGAGAAUGUGCGGUAAACGUCUGAGGUUGGUCGUGGGAUUUUGUAAACCACACCAAUCAAAUGCACCGUUGCUACGAUGAAAUCUGCAUUGCAUGACAUAUCUAACAACCAUAUGAGAUAGCCCUCCAGAGGAAGUUUUUUCAUUGCAACUAGUGUCAACUAAAUUAGCAGAGCAGCAGCUUUCGAACAAACAGUGAUCUUCAAAUUUGGCUAAAGGCCCUUACAACAACUGAAAAUCGAUGACUAACACGGUACUGCUCCGGUACCAAGUGUUAUAUAUAGCUCAGGGCAACCCAGAGAUGGAAAACUGCAAAACCCAUCAAAGUUAUUCAUAUUCAAGCGCCACACUGGCGCUUGAUUACAGAGAUGAUUACAGCGACACACAACAGCUUCUUACAUGACACAUUAACGAAAGAAAACAAUCCAAAAUUGUAGUUUUUCACGAAAAUCUGAACAUCAUUGGACAGAGAACUGCUCAUUCCUGCAACCACAAAGAAGCUGGAUUCAACCAGAGAUCUCAAUGGCCUUGACCUCAGGCUUCUUCUCCUCCACCUUGGGAAUAGUGAUGGUGAGCACCCCGUUCUCCAUCGAGGCCUUCACCUGAUCCAUCUUCGCAUUCUCGGGCAGCCUGAACCUCCUCAUGAACUUCCCGCUGCUUCUCUCCACCCGGUGCCAGGUGUCGUUCUUGUCCUCCUUCUCCACGUUCCUCUCGCCGCUUAUCUGGACCACCCGAUCGUCUUCAAUUUCGACCUUGACUUCCUCCUUCUUGAGCCCGGGAAGAUCAGCCUUGAACACGUGGGCUUCCGGGGUCUCCUUCCAGUCGAUCCUCGUGUUGACAAAAGCGGUGUUCUCCCGGAAAGUUUGAGGGAAAUUAGAGGCGGAGAGGGAGGAGGAAGGGAAAGGGAAGUCCUUGAAGGGGUCCCAGAGGUCGAGCGAGAAGGGGUCGUAGACGUUGCUGCGACGGCCGCCGAACCAACUUGGGAUGAGCGACAUCGUACCUGCUUCUGCUGCAGCUAUUAGAUGAUUCAAAUACGUUUGGUGAUUGAUCGUCGGACUGGCGCUCUCUCUUGCUGAUGCUUUCGCUUUCUUGAAGCGUGGAGGAAGGAACGGACAUGCCCGGUAUUUAUAGGAGGGAAGAAGAGAUAAGGAUCGAACGAUGGAAGUUUCGGUUAAAGAUAGAGAGAGAUCUAGAAAGAUCUGGUCUCGCCAAGAUAGAUCUCUCUCGAAACUGGGCCAUCCUCUCGUGAAACUUCUGGUCUUGGAAGUGUUGAGAUGUCUCGAGACAGGCCCAUAACUAUUGUUUGACCGGCUUGGUUUGUUCGACCCGGGUCGCAAUUUCCCACGGAAGACCAUAGGGAAAGUUCAUCUCGUGGNNNNNNNNNNNNNNNNNNNNNNNNNNNNNNNNNNNNNNNNNNNNNNNNNNNNNNNNNNNNNNNNNNNNNNNNNNNNNNNNNNNNNNNNNNNNNNNNNNNNAAAAUAGAAUGAAGUAUUCAUAGAAAGAAUUGUGAAGCUGCAUAUAAUGAGGAAUUAUGCCAGCAUAACAGUCUGUCAUUUACUGAGUAAAUUAUGGAUUGAUUUCUAUUGUAUGCUGGACAUUUUGCGCUUCUCUCUCCUCCAUAUGCACAGAGAGAUUAUUAUAAAAUCCAACUAGCGUAACUUACAAGAUAAAAUAUUCGAUUAAUCUAAAAAAUGGGUCAAUUUGCAUAAACAUUUAGACAACGUUUGAUUGUUCGAAUUUCUAACAAUAAUAAAACUGUAUAUGAUAUGAUAUGAAAUCCAUGAGAUUUUGUUAUAUCUUAUCCAUUAUUUGGUGAUUACAAUAAUAAAGUCGGAUAUAUUUACAUCAUAUUAUAUAUAUUGCUCAGUAUAAAUUCUUAUAUGAAUCACAAAUUUUUACAAACGAUAAUGGUAAAAAUCUAUCACGACACUCUUAUCUACUUUAUUCUUAUUUUCAUUUUUAUUUUAUUUUCUUCUCUUUUUUUAAUUUAUUUCUUUUUUAGUUCUUUCUUCCCCUUCCAUUAUUUUCGAAUAAACUUUUAUUAUAUAGAAAAUUGUACUAAUAUAACUAAUAUGCUAAAACGCCUAAAAUAUGUAAUAAAUAUAUAUUUAUAUAUUGAAUUUAUAUUAUAAGAUAGAAUAAAUUCAUCUUGAGAAAUAAAAAUAAGAUUAAACUAAAAACAAUGUAUUUAGGAGUUUAUGUAUGUAUGUACGUGCUUCAAUAGCUUUAGUUGCGACUCAACCCCACCCUCCCUCUUUUAAAAUGUGUCUUUAUAGUUUGAAGUUAUGCUGGAGUUAUCUACGGACGUAACAAUCCAUAGUUUGAUGAAUAUACAUUGAUAACAUGCAAAAGAAAGUUCUAAUUUUUUUUCUUAAUUUAUUUAAUAAAUAUGAUUGUUCACAUUUUUGCUUAUUUUAACAAUAAAUAGAAUGGGCCUAAAUCAUAGAGUACUUAGUUUCAAUGCCAGAUGCAAUACGGUAAAAUUGUUUAUAAAAAACAUGAAAGUGUAGGUAUAAAGCAUCCAUUGGUCCCAAACGUAUUGGCUUAUUCAAAUUAAAAGUUAAAAAUGUUUCCGACGGAUUAUGUUUAGUUUAAGUUUAGAUUUAGGUUUCUCUCAUAAAUUUAUAUCGUACUUGAGUAGUGAUCUCGUGUCAAGAACNNNNNNNNNNNNNNNNNNNNNNNNNNNNNNNNNNNNNNNNNNNNNNNNNNNNNNNNNNNNNNNNNNNNNNNNNNNNNNNNNNNNNNNNNNNNNNNNNNNNUAUCACACAGCAAUUUGGUUUUUCUUUUUUCCCUUUGACAUCAAUUUUAAAAUUGGGAGAGAUUAGUGAAUUUUUUUUUAAACUUUGAAAAAGUUGAAAGUUCGCAAAUCAGUAUAUUAUAUGUGUGUUUGAUAUUUAAUUGUCUUCUUACAUGAAUUCUUAAAUAUGUAAUAUUUAUACUAUUUUAUUUUUAUGUACCACCUAAAAAAUUGCAAUUCAACUACCCAUCGUUUAUUUUUCCCUUGUGAUAAGGUCGUUUGUUUGUACCUUAAGGUUACGUUUGGUCGUCCGAAUUUCUAAUCGGAAUAGGACUGGAUAUGAUAGGAUAUGAAAUCAUGAGAUUUUUUUUAUAUCAUAUUCAUUAUUUGAUUAAUCGUAGCAUUAAAGUGGGAUAUAUUCAUAUCAUAUCAUGUACUUUUUUUUAUAUAUAAAUAGUAUAUCAUUAUGAACAUAAAUGUUUUUUUUUUUUUGGUAACUUAGGGAACACCGUAAGCCGACAGCUGGCGAGAAAACCUUGAGGACCGGUUGCAAGACCCACCACCACAGUACUCCAGAUAAGAAUCUCUAACGACGCCUCUGUGAUUCGAACUUUUCCCAUUCGUGAGGGGGAGAGAGCCCGAGCCAGUUGUGCCACUGAUGGCGAUGGUAUUAUGAACAUUAUGUUCAUAAACGGAAAUGGUGAAAAUCUCUCGUAACACUAUUUCUUAAUUUAUUUUUCCUCUUUUUUAUAUUAUUUUCUUUAUUAUUUCUUUUUCCCCUUUCAUCAUUCUUAAUAAAAUAGUAAACUGUACUAACAUACCUAAAAUACCAAAAAUAUAUAACAAUAAUAAAUAUUUAAUUUAUAGAUUGAAUGUUUAUUAUAAGAUAAAAUUAAAGUUGAAUAUAUAAAUUAAAAAAGAUUGAUUAAAAAUAAAUUUUUAUUUUUUAUUUUAAAUAUAUUAAAUUAGAAUUCAAAUAUUAUAUAUAUUGAAAUAUAAUUUCAAUUUUGUUAAUUUAAUAAGUUUAUUAUUCGAGAAAAAUAAUUUUCCUAUUAUGGACAUUAAAAUCUCAUCCAUCUUUGUCCCACCUCCUCCGUGAAGUAAUUUUAUUCUGCAUAUAUCCCAUUUAUAUCCGACUUUAUCACGACUGCCAAAUGCAGCCUCAAAUAUAAAAUUGAGGAAGUUAUUCUUUUCAACGAAAUUGAGAAUGCGAUGGCUCGUCACAUUAACUGAAGUAAAAGUAAUGAUGCCAUCUUUGCCAUUAAAUUUUCCCUUGAAAACUGAUUAACUUGAUUAUCUUCAAAGGGAAAUGAGUUUUGUUAUGUAUUGGAAAUGGCAGCAUGGAUUUUCACUCAGCCGAAAGAAAGAAAGGAAAGAAAAGCAAAAAAAGAGUAGCUAAGUGGGUUUCCCUCCCCAUAACUCCUACAAAAGAUGCAGACAGAAUAGCUUGAGCUAUGUACUGCACGAACAGUCCACAUUAAGAGAGGCGGUACAACUACACAGAGAUCAUGUUUUAAACGCAAUGACUCCAUCAUGACGUUCAGAAACUUGUCAUCGAGCUUAAUCCAUCCCUUUCGAGUGCUGGGACUUGUGCGUGGUUCUGGUUCGUACAAUUUUGCCCACUUCUGCUGAUGCAGUUUCUCUUUUCCUUUUUCUAGAAUGGACAAUAUGGCAAAACUAAUAGUACACUGAUCGUGAUGGCACUCGAGGGUACCUCCUCUUCAUGUACUCCUUUUCUUGCUUGAUGUUUUUUCCUUUUCGCCCUAUGAUUUUGUGAACAGAAAAGCACCGUAAAUUAGCUGUCAAGGCUUUAUAAUUCGCUCCCGAUGAUGAAGAACCCCGUGGCAUUCUCCCUGGGGAAAGAGCACAGAUAUCAUAUUCUCCGGUUGGCCCCAGUCCGGACUCCUGCGCCUUCGUGUUCUGGCUCUCAAUGCUUGUGUAGUGGAUCUUGCACGCCAAGGUCGCAAGACCCAGAAUCAGCAACAUCACAGCCAGCCUCAUGUGGAAAUGCCGUACCCUUUUCGUACCGCAGUGGCAUACAUGGCCGCGUUCUAAUCGCCUUUUCGUUCUUCAAUAGUCAGCAAUUUAGGAUUAGGUCGCGGUUUCCCACUGUUGAAAUUGAAUUCACGACCAUCAAUUACNNNNNNNNNNNNNNNNNNNNNNNNNNNNNNNNNNNNNNNNNNNNNNNNNNNNNNNNNNNNNNNNNNNNNNNNNNNNNNNNNNNNNNNNNNNNNNNNNNNNNNNNNNNNNNNNNNNNNNNNNNNNNNNNNNNNNNNNNNNNNNNNNNNNNNNNNNNNNNNNNNNNNNNNNNNNNNNNNNNNNNNNNNNNNNNNNNNNNNNNNNNNNNNNNNNNNNNNNNNNNNNNNNNNNNNNNNNNNNNNNNNNNNNNNNNNNNNNNNNNNNNNNNNNNNNNNNNNNNNNNNNNNNNNNNNNNNNNNNNNNNNNNNNNNNNNNNNNNNNNNNNNNNNNNNNNNNNNNNCUCAUCUAUUCCUGAUCGGGCAAACCACAGAUUAGAUACUGCAAAACUCGAAACAGAUUAAUAGAUUAUUCAUAUUCAACGCCCGCCUUAUGGCCCGAGAAAACUACAAUAUAACAUCAUAAACAGAGAUGACACUUGGAUUACACAGUCACACAAACACCUACAAUUUCUUAUAUGACUCAUUACAGAAAGAACUCCAAAAUUACACUUAUUCACCGGACGCAAACAUUACCGGACACAAGAGCGAUCAUUCUUGAAAUUACAAGAAGCUUAAUUCAACCAGAGAUCUCAAUAGCCUUGACCUCAGGCUUCUUCUCCUCCACCUUCGGAACACUGACGGUGAGCACUCCAUUCUCCAUCGAGGCCUUCACCUGAUCCAACCUCGCAUUCUCGGGCAACCUGAACCUCCUCAUGAACUUGCCGCUGCUUCUCUCCACCCGGUGCCACGUAUCGUUCUUGUCCUCCUUCUCCACGUUCCUCUCGCCGCUUAUCUGGAGCACCCGAUCGUCUUCGAUCUGCACCUUGACUUCCUCUUUCUUGAGCCCAGGGAGAUCCGCCUUGAACACAUGGGCUUCUGGGGUCUCCUUCCAGUCGAUCCUCGUGUUCACAAAAGCAGUGUUUUCCCGGAAAGUUUGAGGGAAAUUAGAGGCGACGAGGGAAGAGGAAGGCAAAGGGAAGUCCUUGAAGGGAUCCCAGAGGUCAAGGGAGAAGGGGUCGAAGACGUUGCUGCGACGGCCGCCGAACCAGCUUGGGAUGAGCGACAUUGUACCCUCCUGCUGCUGCUGCUGCUGCUGCUGCUGCUGCUGUUAGAUGAUUCAAGGACGUUUGGCGGUUGAUUGUUGUAAUGAUGCCCUCGCUUGCAAAUGCUCCUCUUUUCUUGAGUGACGAUGGAAGAUCGGAGAUGCCUGGUAUUUAAAGGUGAGAAGAACAGCUAAGGAUUGAAAAAUGGAAGUUUCUGUAAAAGAUUGCAGAAGCAUCUGGUCUCGCCCAGAGCUCUCUCGAAACCGGGCCUUGCUCUCCCGAAACUUCUGGUCUGUAAGUCUUGAGAUGUCUCGAGACAGGCCCAUAACUAUUGCUUGACCGGGUUGGACGAUGAUUAACCCAAUUAUCAGAAGCAACUGGAGCUAAAUUUCCAUGUCAGUCUCAUUAUAGUAUUUUAAAUAUGAAAUAAAAAAGAAUCAAAAAAUUAUAUGUGUGGUUGAUAUUUAAUUGACUUCCUUCAUAAAAUUAUUUAAUAUAAUAUAUAAAUAUAUAUAUAUAUAUAUAUAUAUAUCAAUAUCUAUUAAAGGUAUACAAAAGAAUCGGGAACCGUCCAAACUAUCCAGAACCGAAUUGGACCGGAUUGAAACUAGCGAUUCCCAAGGGAACUAAUAUAGUUUUUUGUUCUAAUUUAUUGGAAUUGGUGGAUAUCGAUUGGGUUCUCGAUUUUAAGUGUAGAAUCGUCCACCCGCCUACUCAAAUCGAAUCAGUAAUAUAGAAAUAUAUAUUUAAUUUUUAAGAAAAAUUUCUAACAAAUUAUUUAAGAAAAAUAAAAACCAUAAAAUCCCUAAUCUAAAGAUUAAUACCUAUUAACUAAGUGCUCAUCUCGUCUCACUCUCACCUCUUUUGAGUCGUCUUUCUAUCUCUCACUCAUGGCCUUGACUCUUAAUUUUUAAUAUAAGUCCAUUUUUUUUUUAUUCAUCUUGCAAUUAAGAAUAAGAAAGUUCUUUAUUUUUUGCUUAAAUUUGACUUGUUGGAAAAUGUUGCACCAACUGUGUGAAGCUUGUUUGGAACCCACCCGAGAACCAGAUCGGACCGAUGGUCCGAUUCUCUAUUUUAAUUUUUCAAAAUCGAUUUUUAGUGGGUAACUCCCGAUUCUAGGGGGAAAAUAAGAAAAUUAUCAAAAAAGUCUCAAACAUAUUGCAAUUAUAUUGAUUCAAUCACAAACUUAUUAUUUUGGUUAAUUGAAUCCUAAACUUUUUGCAAUUAUGUCAAUUCGAUUUUCUUUUACCAAAUUUGGUUGACUGGCUUUGAUGAACAAUUUUUUAAUUGUUUCUUCUUUCUUACCCUUUCUUUUUUUCUCUCUCUUUUUUUCUUCCUCCCCUUUCUUCCUCCUUUCGAUGACCUACCAAAUAGGAGCACCGAUUGAGGCACUACCUUUCUUCCUCCUUUCGAUGACCUACCAAAUAGGAGCACCGAUUGAGGCAACUAGCUAGUGGUGAACUCACCUCUCUGUUGUUGGGUGAGGGUGAGCUCGCCUAACUAGGCCCUCACUAGAUCUAGUGAGGGUGAGCUCGCCCAGUGACUAGGGAAGGCGAGCCUUGCUAGAUUUAGCGAGAGUGAGCCUCGCCAAUGGAUCGACAAGCUUGACCUCAUUGUCAUCAGGCUAGGGCAAACUCGCCCAACCACUGGGGAUCACCCUCUGGUCAAAGACGAGCUCGCCAAUGGAUCUGCUAGUGGAUUCUUGCUCUUCACUAGUUGGGGCUUUCGGAAAAAGUUGAAUGGAAUGGAUUAUCAGGACCCAUCCGAUUCCCCUCCCCUGAACUCCUGAUAACACCUGAUGGUUAUUAGAAUUGAACCCGCAGCCAUCAAUUACACGGUUUAGCUUAGUAGAGAAUGUGCGAGUGUUUGAAUGUGCGGUAAACGUCUGAGGUUGGUCGUGGGAUUUUGUAAACCACACCAAUCAAAUGCACCGUUGCUACAAUGAAAUCUGCAUUGCAUGACAUAUCCAACAACCAUAUGAGAUAGCCCUCCAGAGGAAGUUUGUUCAUUGCAACUAGUAUCAACUAAAUUAGAGCAGCAGCUUUCGAACAAACAGUGAUCUUCAGAUUUGGCUAAAGGCCAUUUCAGUAGAGACUCAACAACGACUGAAAAUCGAUGACUAACACGGUACUGCUCCGGUACCAUGUGUUAUAUAGCUCAAUCGAAUCCAGAACGGGGCAACCCAGAGAUGGAAUACUACAAAACCAUCAAAGUUAUUUAUAUUCAAGCGCCACACUAUGGCGCUUGAUUACAAAGAUGACACAUUGAUUACAGCGACACACAAGCUUCUUGCAUGACACAUUAACAAAAGAAAACAAUCCAAAAUUAUAGUUUUUCACGAAAAUCUGAACAUCAUUGGACAAAGAACCGCUCAUUCCUGCAACCACAAAGAAGCUGAAUUCAACCAGAGAUCUCAAUGGCCUUGACCUCAGGCUUCUUCUCCUCCACCUUGGGAACAGUGACGGUGAGUACCCCGUUCUCCAUCGAGGCCUUCACCUGAUCCAUCUUCGCAUUCUCGGGCAGCCUGAACCUCCUCAUGAACUUCCCGCUGCUUCUCUCCACCCGGUGCCAAGUGUCGUUCUUGUCCUCCUUCUCCACGUUCCUCUCGCCGCUUAUCUGGAGAACCCGAUCGUCUUCAAUUUCGACCUUGACUUCCUCCUUCUUGAGCCCGGGAAGAUCAGCCUUGAACACGUGGGCUUCCGGGGUCUCCUUCCAGUCGAUCCUCGUGUUGACAAAAGCGGUGUUCUCCCGGAAAGUUUGAGGGAAAUUAAAGGCGAAGAGGGAGGAGGAAGGGAAAGGGAAGUCCUUGAAGGGGUCCCAGAGGUCGAGAGAGAAGGGGUCGUAGACGUUGCUGCGACGGCCGCCGAACCAGCUUGGGAUGAGCGACAUCGUACCUGCUUCUGCUGCAGCUGUUAGAUGAUUCAAAGACGUUUGGUGAUUGAUCGUCGGACUGGCGCUCUCUCUUGCUGAUGCUUUCGUUUUCUUGAAGCGUGGAGGUAGGAACGGACAUGCCCGGUAUUUAUAGGAGGGAAGAAGAGAUAAGGAUCGAGCGAUGGAAGUUUCGGUUAAAGAUAGAGAGAGAUCUAGAAAGAUCUGGUCUCGCCAAGAUAGAUCUGUCUCGAAACUGGGCCAUCCUCUCGUGAAACUUCUGGUCUUGGAAGUGUGGAGAUGUCUCGAGACAGGCCCAUAACUAUUUUUUGACCGGCUUGGUUUGUUCGACCCGGGUCGCAAUUUCCCACGGAAGACCAUAGGGAAAGUUCAUCUCGUGGAAAAGAAGAUCAGGGGUUAGGAAACAGUCGUUUAGAAAAAGGAAUUUUCGCCGAUUUGGAAAUAUAAAAAUAGAAUGAAGUAUUCAUAGAAAGAAUUGUGAAGCUGUAUAUAAUGAGGAAUUAUGCCAGCAUAACGGUCCGUCAUUUACUGAGUAAAUUAUGGAUUGAUUUUUACUGUAUGCUGGACAUUUUGCGCUUCUCUCUCCUCCAUAUGCACAAAGAGAUUAUUAUAAAAUCCAACUAGCGUAACUUACAAGAUAAAAUACUUGAUUAAUCUAAAAAAUGGGUCAAAUUGCAUAAACAUUUAGAUUACGUUUGAUUGUUCGAAUUUCUAACAAUGAUAGAACUGGAUAUGAUAUGAUAUGAAAUCCAGAAAAUUUUGUUAUCUCUUAUCUACUGUUUGGUGAUUGUAAUAAUAAAGUCGGAUAUAUUUACAUCAUAUUAUAUAUAUUGCUCAGUAUAAAUUCUUAUAUGAAUCACAAAUUUUUACAAACGAAAAUGGUAAAAAUCUAUCGCGACACUCUUAUCUACUUUAUUCUUAUUUUCAUUUUUAUUUUAUUUGGUUCUCUUUUUUAAUUUAUUUCUUUUGUAGUUCUUUCUUCCCCUUCCAUUAUUUUCGAAUAAACUUUUAUUAUAUAAAAAAUUGUACUAAUAUAUCUAAAAUGCUAAAACGCCUAAAAUAUGUAAUAAAUAUAUAUUUAUAUAUUGAAUUUAUAUUAUAAGAUAGAAUUAAAUUCGUUUAUAGAAAUAAAAAUAAGAUUAAACUAAAAACAGUGUAUUUAGGAGUUUAUAUAUGUAUGUACGUGCUUCAAUAGCUUUAGUUGCGACUCAACCCCACCCUCCCUCUUUUAAAAUGUGUCUUUAUAGUUUGAAGUUAUGCUGGAGUUAUCUACGGACGUAACAAUCCAUAGUUUGAUGAAUAUACAUUGAUAACAUGCAAAAGAAAGUUCUAAUUUUUUUUCUUAAUUUAUUUAAUAAAUAUGAUUGUUCACAUUUUUGCUUAUUUUAACAAUAAAUAGAAUGGGCCUAAAUCAUAGAGUACUUAGUUUCAAUGGCAGACGGAAUACGGUAAAAUUGUUAAUAAAAAACAUGAAAGUGUAGGUAAUAAAGCAUCCAUUGGUCCCAAACGUACUGGCUUAUUCAAAUUAAAAGUUAAAAAUGGCUCCGACGGAUUAUGUUUAGUUUAAGUUUAGAUUCAAGUUUCUCUGAAUGAAUUUAUAUCGUACUGGAGUACUGAUCUCGUGUCAAGAACUGUUAUUUUACUCAUAUUCAUUCUACUCCCCAUAUCACACUGCAAUUUGGUUUUUCUUUUUUCCCUUUGACAUCAAUUUUAAAACUGGGAGAGAUUAGUGAAUUUUUUUUGAAACUUUGAAAAAGUUGAAAGUCCGCAAAUCAGUAUAUUACAUAUGUGUUUGAUAUUUAAUUGUCUUCUUACACGAAUUCUUAAAUAUGUAAUAUUUAUAAUAUUUUAUUUUUAUGUACCACCUAAAAAAUUUGCAGUUCAACUAGCCAUCGUUUAUUUUUCCCUUGUGAUAAGAUUGUUCGUUUGUAUCUUUAGGUUACAUUUGGUCGUCCUAAUUUCUAAUUUGAAUAGGACCGAAUAAGAUAGGAUAUGUUCCUUACCAAAAAAAUAAGAUAGGAUAUGAAAUCAUGAGAUUUUUUUAUAUCUUGUCCAUUGUUUGGUGAAUCGUAGUAUUAAAGUCAAGUAUAUUCACAUCAUAUCAUAUUAUAUAUAUAUAAACGGCAUAUCAUUAUAAAUGAACAUAAAUGUUCAUUAACAGAAAUAGUGAAAAUCUCUCGUAACACUAUUUCUUAAUUUAUUUUUAUUUUAUUUUUCCUCUUUUUUAUAUUAUUUUCUUUAUUAUUUCUUUUUCCCCUUUCAUCAUUCUUUAAUAAAAUUUAAUAAAAUAGUAAACUGUACUAACAUACCUAAAAUACAAAAAUACCAAAAAUAUAUAACAAUAAUAAAUAUUUAAUUUAUAAAUUGAAUGUUUAUUAUAAGAUAAAAUUAAAGUUGAAUAUAUAAAUUAAAAAAGAUUGAUUAAAAAUAGAAUUCACGACGAUCAAUUACACAUCAGAUGGACCUUUCUACUAUAAAUUAUACAAUGCACGACUUAGCCACCAACCAUAUGAGUGAAGUGGAACUUAAGAAUGGCGGAUCAGAUAGCCUCAAUGGAGAAGGCAAAUUUUGUUGAUUGCUAAUAGGGUGUCAACUCAAUCAGCCGACGACCGCAGCUUUCGAACCCACAUGAUAACCAAAUUUGGCCAAAACCCUCUCAGUUCAGACCCUCAACAUCAACCGUGAAUGAAUGACCAAGAGGGUACUGCUCCACACCACUUGUAAACAGCUCAAUCUAUUCCAGAUCAGGCAAAUCACAGAUGAGAUACUGCAAAAUUCGAGAAAGAUUAUUCAUAUUCAACGCCGCCUUAUGGCCCGAGAAAACUACAAUAUAACAUCAUAAACAGAGAUGACACUCUGAUUACACAGUCACAUAAACACCUACAAUUUCUUAUAUGACUCAUUACCGAAAGAACUCCGAAAUAACACUUGUUCACCGGACGCAAACAUUACCGGACACAAGAGCGAUCAUUCUUGAAAUUACAAGAAGCUUAAAUCAACCAGAGAUCUCAAUAGCCUUGACCUCAGGCUUCUUCUCCUCCACCUUCGGAACACUGACGGUGAGCACUCCAUUCUCCAUCGAGGCCUUCACCUGAUCCAACCUCGCAUUCUCGGGCAACCUGAACCUCCUCAUGAACUUGCCGCUGCUUCUCUCCACCCGGUGCCACGUAUCGUUCUUAUCCUCCUUCUCCACGUUCCUCUCGCCGCUUAUUUGGAUCACCCGAUCGUCUUCGAUCUCCACCUUGACUUCCUCUUUCUUGAGCCCAGGGAGAUCCGCCUUGAACACAUGGGCUUCUGGGGUCUCCUUCCAGUCGAUCCUCGUGUUCACAAAAGCAGUGUUUUCCCGGAAAGUUUGAGGGAAAUUAGAGGCGACGAGGGAAGAGGAAGGCAAAGUGAAGUCCUUGAAGGGAUCCCAGAGGUCAAGGGAGAAGGGGUCGAAGACGUUGCUGCGACGGCCGCCGAACCAGCUUGGGAUGAGCGACAUUGUACCCUCCUGCUGCUGCUGCUGCUGUUAGAUGAUUCAAGGACGUUUGGCGAUUGAUUGUUGUAAUGAUGCCCCGGCUUACAAAUGCUCCCCUUUUCUUGAGUGACGAAGGAUGAUUGGAGAUGCCUGGUAUUUAAAGAAGAGAAGAACAGCUAAGGAUCGAAAAAUGGAAGUUUCUGUAAAAGAUUGCAGAAGCAUCUGGUCUCGCCCAGAGCUCUCUCGAAACCGGGCCUUGCUCUCCCGAAACUUCUGGUCUGUAAGUCUGGAGAUGUCUCGAGACAGGCCCAUAACUAUUGCUUGACCGGGUUGGACGAUGAUUAACCCCAAUUAUCAGAAGCAACUGGAGCUAAAUUUCCAUGUAAGUCUCAUUAUAGUAUUUUAAUUAUGAAAUAAAAUAGAAUAAAAAAAUUAUAUGUGUGGUUGAUAUUUAAUUGACUUCAUUCAUAAAAUUCUUUAAUAUAAUAUAUAAACAAAUAUAUAAAUAUAUAUAUAUCAAUAUCUAUUAAAGGUAUACAAAAGAAUCGGGAACCGUCCAAACUAUCCAGAACCGAAUUGGACCGGAUUAAAACUAGCGAUUCCCAAGGGAACUAAUAUAGUUUUUUGUUCUAAUUUAUUGGAAUCGGUGGAUAUCGAUUGGGUUCUCGAUUUUAAGUGUAGAAUCGUCCACUCGCCUACUCAAAUCGAAUUAGUAAUAUAGAAAUAUAUAUUUAAUUUUUAAGAAAAAUUUCUGACAAAUUAUUUAAGAAAAAUAAAAACCAUAAAAUCCCUAAUCUAAAGAUUAAUACCUAUUAACUAAGUGCUCAUCUCGUCUCACUCUCACCUCUUUUGAGUCAUCUUUCUAUCUUUCACUCAUGUCCUUGACUCUUAAUUUUUAAUAUAAGUCCAAUUUUUUUUAUUGAUCUUGCAAUUAAGAAUAAGAAAGUUCUUUAUUUUUUUGCCUUACUUUGACUUGUUGGAAAAUGUUGCACCAAAUGUGUGAAGCUUGUUUGGAACCCACCCAAGAACUAGAUCGGACCAAUGGUCCAAUUCUCUAUUCUAAUUUUUCAAAAUCGAUUUUUAGUGGGUAACUCCCGAUUCUAGGGGGAAAAUGGGAAAAUUAUCCAAAAAGUCUCAAACAUAUUGCAAUUAUAUUGAUUCAAUCACAAACUUAUUAUUUUGGUCAAUUGAAUCAUAAACCUUUUAUAAUUAUGUCAAUUGGAUUUUCUUUUACCAAAUUUGGUUGAUUGGCUUCGAUGAACAAUUUUUUAAUCUUUUCUUCUUUCUUAUCCUUUCUUUUUUUUCUCUCUCUUUGUUUCUUCCUCCUCCUUCUUCCUCCUUCCGACGACCUGCCAAAUGGGACGCCGAUUGAGGCAACUAGCGUGGUGAACUCACCUCUCUGUCGUUGGGUGAGGGUGAGCUCGCCUAACUAGGCCCUCGCUGGAUCUAGUGAGGGUGAGCUCGCCCAGUGAUUAGGGAAGGCAAGCCUUGGUAGAUUUAGCAAGAGUGAGCCUCGCCAAUGGAUCGACAAGCUUGACCUCAUUGUCGUCAGGCUAGGACAAACUCGCCCAACCACUGGGGAGGGUGAUCUGGUCAAAGACGAGCUCGCCAAUGGAUCUGCUGGUGGAUUCUUGCUCUUCACUAGUUGGGGCUUUAGGAAAAAGUUGCAUGGGAUGGAUUAUCAGGACCCAUCCGAUUCCCCUCCCCUGAACUCCUGAUGGUUACUAGAAUUGAACCCGCCUCCAUCAAUUACACGGUUUAGCUUAGUAGAGAAUGUGCGAGUGUUUGAAUGUGCGGUAAACGUCUGAGGUUGGUCGUGGGAUUUUGUAAACCACACCAAUCAAAUGCACCGUUGCUACAAUGAAAUCUGCAUUGCAUGACAUAUCCAACAACCAUAUGAGAUAGCCCUCCAGAGGAAGUUUUUUCAUUGCAACUAGUGUCAACUAAAUUAGCAUAGCAGCAGCUUUCGAACAAACAGUGAUCUUCAUAUUUGGCUAAAGGCCCUUACAACAACUAAAAAUCGAUGACUAACACGGUACUGCUCCGGUACCAAGUGUUAUAUAUAGCUCAAUCGAAUCCAGAUCAGGCAACCCAGAGAUGGAAUACUGCAAAACCCAUCAAAGUUAUUCAUAUUCAAGCGCCACAUUGGCGCUUGAUUACAGAGAUGAUUACAACGGCACACGACACACAACAGCUUCUUAACGAAAGAAAACAAUCCAAAAUUGUAGUUUUUCACGAAAAUCUGAACAUUAUUGGACAGAGAACCGCUCAUUCCUGCAACCACAAAGAAGCUGGAUUCAACCAGAGAUCUCAAUGGCCUUGACCUCAGGCUUCCUCUCCUCCACCUUGGGAACAGUGACGGUGAGCACCCCGUUCUCCAUCGAGGCCUUCACCUGAUCCAUCUUCGCAUUCUCGGGCAGCCUGAACCUCCUCAUGAACUUCCCGCUGCUUCUCUCGACCCGGUGCCAGGUGUCGUUCUUGUCCUCCUUCUCCACGUUCCUCUCGCCGCUUAUCUAGACCACCUGAUCGUCUUCAAUUUCGACCUUGACUUCCUCCUUCUUGAGCCCGGGAAGAUCAGCCUUGAACACGUGGGCUUCCGGGGUCUCCUUCCAGUCGAUCCUCGUGUUGACAAAAGCGGUGUUCUCCCGGAAAGUUUGAGGGAAAUUAGAGGCGGAGAGGGAGGAGGAAGGGAAAGGGAAGUCCUUGAACGGGUCCCAGAGGUCGAGCGAGAAGGGGUCGUAGAUGUUGCUGCGAUGGCCGCCGAACCAACUUGGGAUGAGCGACAUCGUACCUGCUUCUGCUGCAGCUGUUAGAUGAUUCAAAGACGUUUGGUGAUUGAUCGUGGGACUGACGCUCUCUGUUGCUGAUG
RNAcentral lists this long non-coding RNA (22048 nucleotides) under Eucalyptus grandis. Its description in RNAcentral is "long non-coding RNA (EGRA_LNC006029)". Lineage: Eukaryota; Viridiplantae; Streptophyta; Magnoliopsida; Myrtales; Myrtaceae. The record is from RNAcentral.